Carlito syrichta (Philippine tarsier) is the source of this 734-nucleotide long non-coding RNA. RefSeq lists it as uncharacterized. The record is from RefSeq and is a predicted model, not a curated record. The transcript is spliced from 3 exons. NCBI's taxonomy places the organism in Eukaryota, Metazoa, Chordata, Mammalia, Primates, Tarsiidae.
CUACCUUUCCGCAUACUCUGAACAGUUGCCUGCGAAAGAGGAACUGGGGACUUAACUAAUUCAGGCUGCUUCCAUUCAAGUGUUCCAGAGGGCACAUGCGCAUCCAAAUAGACUUCUCUUUGCUCUUUGGAGCUUAUAAAGGAGCAGGCAUCUGAAACUGCACCCUGAAGCUCUAUUCCAGAAAUGUUCCUGAACAAGUUGCCUGUCGGGGCAAGCUUCAAAAGGGAUAUUUAAAUGGCCAACCCCAUUCAUACCGUGAGCCAGGAAAGGAAAAUAAAUCUGUUGAAGAAUCUUAAGAGCCAAAUCUUCUGAGCCUAGGCCUACUGCUGUCAGCAACUCUAAGACCUCCUUCAUCUGAGAAUUACCAGGUCUGACAACACUUUCCCUCCAGCCUACAGUGAGGGACGUCAACAAAGCUGUAGAAAACUCACAUCCUCUAGACUUACAACCCUCAAGCUGUGCAGCUGGGCAGGAACUUUACAAUCUCUAUCCUUAAGGAAGAUUCAGAAAGACAGACAAGAGGGGUGAAAAGUCAGAUAUGCUGAACCUGAAAUAUACAAAAGCCUUUAGAAUGUUUCCUUGUGGAAGAAACCAAUUAAAUCCACGUCAUUAGUCCACACAUCUAGAUGUGCUAUAGGCAAAACAUAGUCUUUUCUUCCUCUACUAAACAGAGUAAAAGUCUGAUAUAAUACACUAAGAGAUUCUUGUCCCAGUAACAGUAUUAUAAAGCAAUU